Molecule: non-coding RNA, 81 nt
Organism: Caerostris darwini
Lineage: Eukaryota; Metazoa; Arthropoda; Arachnida; Araneae; Araneidae
Source: the annotation of a GenBank genome assembly
CGGUUAGAUCACCGAAGUCAAGCAUCAUUGGGCGCGAUCAGUACUUGGGUGGGUGACCACCUGGGAGCACCGCGUGCCGUU